Molecule: long non-coding RNA, 344 nt
Filed under: Sorghum bicolor (sorghum)
Lineage: Eukaryota; Viridiplantae; Streptophyta; Magnoliopsida; Poales; Poaceae
Description: long non-coding RNA (SBIC_LNC008542)
Source: RNAcentral
CAAGGGUAGGAGAAGCAGGGCCGUGGCCAAAAACAAAAGCAUUGAGAGUGUCUGACCAAAAGUAGGAUGCAGCUAUCAGCAGUGACUCGUUCCUGUGCAUAUCGGCAAUGGAUAGCCUAAUGCAUUGAGCUAGCUUCCUCUCACCCCACUGGACUUCAUAAGAAUUGCUGACCCUCAAGAACCAAUCUUUCCACCCUACAGUGGGGCUGGGCCAAGAGCGAAAGGUGUCUUUCCACAGAUCUAAAGAAAAGUUUUCGGCUCUAAAGGGAAUCCUGUUGGUUUCUGCAUUGAUAAGGUCGGUUGGAUCUGGAUUCCCUAGAGGGCCGAGGCACUGAAGGUGCGGU